RNAcentral lists this long non-coding RNA (727 nucleotides) under Pandoravirus dulcis. RNAcentral's name for it is "putative ncRNA". The record is from RNAcentral.
CGCACACGUCGCGCUGCCCGCUCACCAGGCGCAAGGCGUGGCCGGCGUCGGCGGCCAUCGCCAGCACCAGCAGCGUGGCGACGGCGGCGCCCAUCAGCAUCGUUGUCACUGAGCCGCUCCCCCGUGGCAUCGUCUCGCGGUUGUUCCUGCGCGUCAUAUCGUCGUUGGUGUUAUCAAGGUACGUUGGUCCUUUUUUUCGAGUCUGUCGGCUGUCGGUGCGGGCGGCAACGGUCUGGAUGACAAGGAAAAAAAAAAAAGAACGGCGCCGUGAGCGACGGCUCUUGCAAAGCGAGAGAAAAAGUAGAGACACACACACACAGGCGCGCGCAAGUCCGACGGCUCCUUUGUCCUAGGGACGCGACGGAUCGGUGGUGCGCGCACGCGGCCGCGUGCACCCCAGUGCGGCCGUAAAAAGAAUCUGGCAGGGCUGCUGCCGUUGCGGCGCGCGUGCGCACGACAAAACAAAAGGAAAAGUGCCACAAACCACGCCUCACGGCGUCGAGGAUGCCUCGUAUUUCAUUUUCGGCUGUGGGCGGUCGCGCAUUUUGAGAGCCCCCGGCGAGGUGCCAGUAAAAAAAAAGAGGGAAAAAAAGGAGAGCGCGCCAAGAGAGACAAGGACACAAAAAGGAGAGAAAAAAAGGGGCGGUGGGUACCCAAAAAAAUGUCGGUCCGACAGUGGCGGGUGUGAAAAUACAGAGUCUAAUAUGGCCUCUCGGGUGGGUAUUUA